CUAUACUCAUCAAAAUUUUUGACCUAAAUGCCCAUCUCUCAGAGCAUAACCAGCGGCUGUAAUUCCCAUCUCAACCCUUCCAACAUCCUCUUCUGCCCCUCCAAAAUUCUCUCCUCCUUCUACCCUUUUACCCGCGCACUUUCAAAUUAUUGUUAUUUUUUCUGGAUUUCGAUAUUCCUUCAAAACAAAUGAAUAAAUAUUAGAUUGUGUUUUCUAUAUUUUUAUUUAUGUUUUGAUGGGAUGAUUUUAGUUGAAUUAUUGACAAAUCGCUUUAUGUUUUUCCAAGAUUCUUCUAUUUCGAGUAUUUUUGCAGCUGGGUUCGGGCUGGGAACCGCUCUUGACUAGGACUUUAUGCGAAAUAGUGGAAUUUUCGUUUUUUGACAUUUAUCAGGUACUAUUUCAGUAUAUUAUCGAUACUUAAUCUUGCGAGUUUGAUUUUUUCCCCUUUUCUUUGUAUUAUUGAAAUUCUGGUGGUUAUUUGCUUACCUGCUAAAUGGGUUUCUUGAUUAUUGUUUUUUUUUCUUUUGAUUCAUGGGGCUUGAUUUUCUUGAAACAUGUGGGUUGUAAUUUAUACUUGAAACUACUCGUUAAACCUGUGGGGGAGUGUUACUGUUGUAGAAGUAUGUGAUGCUUGUUAUGCUUCUAUCUCGCGUGUAUUUGUAUUGAACACAGAACAUUGUUGGUGUUUGUGGGAAAUUGGUGAUUUAUUGAUUUCCACGACAGCAUAUCAAUUAAAGUCAUUAUGAAAAGAUGUUAUUGGUAUCCAUAAAUCUAUCCAUUGGUUGCCAUUUGUCGGAGUUCCAUACGUUGGAAAAGAAAAGAAAAUAGCCAUGUUAACUUAAAACGAUUGACUUUUGAGGGAAAAGGGUGAUUCCAUAUUGAUUUCCACACCGGCAUAGCAAUUAAAGUCAUUCGAAAAAGAAAUUAAUUUUUUUCCACUAAUGCAUUGCUUGCUGUGUGCUGGAUCUAUUAAUAGGAAAGGAAGAGUAAAUAUCCAUGUUGUUAACUUAAAAUGUUAGACUUGAUAUGUUAACUUUGCUGUACGGAGUUCUACUGUUGUAGAAGUACGCGACGUUUGUUAUGCUUAUUGAAAUUGUUUGUUUGCGGGGAAAAUGUUGUUUCUAUAUUGAUUUCUAUUCAGGCAUAUCAAUUAUUGUCACUACAAAAGAGAUGUCAUCUGUUUCCGUCGAUGCAUUCCUUGCCACUUGUUGUAGUUCUACUUGCUGGCAAAGCAAAGUAAAAUGUUUACCUUUGAUGUGUGAAGUUCUACUGUUGUAGAAGUACGUGACACUUGCUAUGUUUCUGGUUCAUGUGUAUUGAAAAUUGUACGUGUUUGCGGGAAAUAGUGGUUAGUAAUUAACAUCAUUAUCAAAAAUGUUAUUUGUUUUCACUAAUGCGUUGCCUGCCAUUUGUUGGAGUUCUGUUGAUUGGCAAAGCAUCACAAAUGUCAGCGUUAGCCUAAAAAUAUUAAACUUCAUAUGUUAUGUUUGCUGUCCAGAGUUUUACUGUUGUAGAAGUCCGUGAAGCUUGUUGCUUCUGUUUUGUGUGUAUUGAAAAUUGUUAUGUUUGCUGGAAAAUGGUGGUUCUAUAUUGUUUUUGGCCUGGAGUUUAAGUCAUUUUGAAAAAUCUGGUACUUGUUCCAUUAAUGCAUUGCUUGCUGUUUGUUUGAGUUCUAUUGAUUGCAGAGCAAAGCAAAUGUCCUUACUAAUGUAAAAUGUUUGACUUAAUAUAUUAUGUUUUCAUUGUGGAGUUUUACUGCUGUAGAAGUACAUGAUGCUUAUUAUGCUUCUAUUUGUGUGUUAAAAAUUAUUUGUGUUUGAAGGAAACAGGUAGUUCUAUAUCAAUUUCAAUGAUGCGUAGCAUUUUAAGUCAUUAUGAAUAAGAUGUUAUUUGUUAUCAUUAAUGCAUUGCUUGCCAGUUGUUGGGGUUAUACUGAUUGGCAAAGAAUAUAUCCUUGAUUGGCAAAGAAUAUAUCCUUGUUCACUUAUAUUGUUUGACCUAAUAUGUUAUGUUUGCUGUGCGGAGUUCUACUGUUUGUAGAAAUACGUGACACUUGUUAUUCUUCUAUUUCAUGUAUAUUGAAAAUUAUUUAUAUUUGCACGAAAAAUGGUGGUUCUAUAUUGAUUUCCACGUUGUCAUAGAAACUAAAGUCAUUGUGAAAAAAAUGUUAUAUGUUUCUAUUAAUGCGUUGCUUCCUGUUUGUUAGAGUUCUAUUGAGUGGCAUUGCAUAGCCAACAUCUGUGUUAACUUAUUUGACUUAUUUGUGUCUUUGAUAAUCUUUUACUGUAAAGUUUGUUAGAUUGUUUUCUAAAGCUUUGAUAAUAUGACAUUGUGAAUUAAGGCAGUUAUUUCAAGCUUGGGAGGAAAAUGGUGAACAACGAUUUGAUAUUUGGACAGAACCACAGUGUAUCUCUUAGUCAGAACCAGAUUAGUCAUAAUCACAAUGUGGCUAUGGCUCAAAACCAUGGUUUGGAGAUGGGCCAAACUCAUGACCACGAAGCAGGUUUGGGGAGGAGCCAUGAUAUCGAGGGCAUUGAUGAUCAUGGAUAUGAACACGAGAGUGGGGAAUUGUUGGAGCAAAAGCCUGAAGAUGAAGGCCAUGCGUCUUUACCUACAGAGAGCAAUGAGUUAGAUAUGUCCGAGCACAAUGAAUUGGUUGUAUCUGGGAACCAGGAACUUGACGAGAACAUGGAAUUAGCAGUUAUCCAGCAGGACUUGGGUAUUGAACCUAUGCAUGAUACGAGUGUUCAGCAUGGUCCUCUAGUAGUUACUCCCAAUCAUGUUCUUCAGGCACGUACUCUUGCUGUGAGCCCUAAUUACGAGCUUCACGUGGGACAAGAAUUUCCUGAUGUCAAAGCUUGUAGAAGGGCUUUGAGGGACACAGCUAUUGCCCUCCACUUUGAAUUGCAAACCAUAAAAUCAGAUAAAACUCGCUUUACUGCUAAAUGUGCCAAUGAGGGAUGCCCCUGGCGCAUUCAUGCUGCGAAGCUACCUGGUAUGCCGACUUUCACAAUCAGGACCAUCAACGACGACCAUACAUGUGGAGGUAUCACUCAUCUUGGCCAUCAGCAAGCCUCAGUUCAGUGGGUUGCCAAUUCAGUAGAGCAACGACUUCUUGAAAACCCCAAUUGCAAGCCGAAAGAGAUCUUGGAGGAAAUUCAUCGAGUUCAUGGCAUUGCUUUGUCAUACAAGCAAGCCUGGCGUGGAAAGGAACGUAUUAUGGCUGCUAUGCGUGGAUCCUUUGAAGAAGACUAUCGUCUCCUCCCACAGUACUGUGAGCAAGUAAAACGGACAAACCCAGGAAGUAUUGCCUCUGUUUAUGGAAAUCCCAAUGACAAUUGCUUCCAGCGCCUCUUUAUUUCUUUCCAGGCAUCCAUCUAUGGUUUUCUGAAUGCUUGUCGUCCACUGCUUGGGCUUGAUAGGACAUUUUUGAAGAGCAAAUAUCUUGGUACUUUACUUCUGGCCACUGGAUUUGAUGGGGAUGGUUACCUUUUUCCUUUGGCUUUUGGUGUUGUCGACGAGGAGAACGACGACAACUGGAUGUGGUUUCUCUCUGAACUUCAUAACCUGCUCGAGGUCAAUACAGAGAACAUGCCAAGGCUUACAAUUUUGUCAGAUAGGCAGAGGGGUAUCAUAGAUGGCGUGGAAGCAAAUUUCCCAACUGCUUUCCAUGGCUUUUGCAUGCGUCAUUUGAGUGAAAGCUUUCGUAAGGAAUUCAACAAUACAAUGCUGGUCAACCUUUUGUGGGAUGCUGCACAUGCUCUUACUGUCAUUGAUUUUGAAGCUAAAUUUUUAGAGAUUGAAGAGAUAUCUCAAGAUGCUGCAU
This 3826-nucleotide long non-coding RNA is filed under the name Olea europaea subsp. europaea. The record is from RNAcentral. Lineage: Eukaryota; Viridiplantae; Streptophyta; Magnoliopsida; Lamiales; Oleaceae.